UGCUCAUGCUGUUGAUCACUGGAUUGUCUGGUCCAGACUCGAUUAUUUACAGAUCACCGCCCUAUAGCUGGAAUAUUGCUGAGUGCGGCUUAAAGCUAAACUUACUCACUCACUCAUUGCUACAUAAAGAACUACCCUUGACAAGGUUGAUCUAUUAAAGCAAGGACCCGAGGACCUGACCAGUGAGGUGGUCAGACUGGAUUGUGGAAUUGGUCACGUCCAACGGUCCAUGUUUUCCAUAUUGACCUCCCCAAGAGUAAUCAUUUAUUUGGUCAUAUCAAAAUUCACCGACAAUUCCAUGAAGCUUUAUCAACAGUCCUGUUUCAUUACAAUAACCCAUCUGGGAACCAAGAAAUGUUAUCAGCUGCACCCCUGGUAUUCUUGAAUUGGUGAAUUGGCAUACAACUUUGUGGAUGAAAACUUCUUGUUUAUUGCAUGGAGCAACGUUUCCAUGUAGAUUCUUCCAUCACAGUUAGCUUGAUAACAAUGAAAUAAUCUACAUGGGAACAUCGCUUUAUGCAAUAAACAAGAAGUUGUCAUCAAUAAAGCUGUAUGCUUCAUUUUUGAAUCAGUAUGCAUCAUAUGACAGGUCAAAUUUCAAGCCCAGUGUCCAGCACAAUGUGGGGUCAAGCGACAUAGUGUAGCUAUGAGCAUGCUUACGAGCGUAGAUUUGUGCGCACUAUAAUUAUUCUACACAAAACACCUGUCCCAAAACAGACUUUCAGUUAUUUAGUCCAUGCACAUACAAUGCAUGACAGUUAUGAGUUAGUUUGGGUAGAAAAUAGUUCAUUGCAGAUGCUCUCUUGAGUGUUGAAAAUACAAAGUUUUAGCUUUAUCUUCGUGACCGCACAGAUGACGCUGAGCAUAUUUGAAAAGCAUGCAGAUAUGAAACUGGGAAAGGAAAGCUAAGAUUUGCCUUAAUAAUAUAGUUCAGUUGUUGAUCUGCCUUUUGAGUUUUCUUUAUACCAUUAGGCAUGGCCGCAUGGGUCUCCCUCAGAGUAGUCUGAGCUUCCAUGAUUCGCUUUGAGCAUUCCAGAGGGGCAGCGAGGUAGCCUAGUGGUUAAAGCGUAGGCUCGUCACGCCGAAGACCCGGGUUCGAUUCCCCACAUGGAUACAAUGUGUGAAGCCCAUUUCUGGUGUUCCCGGUCGUGAUAUUGCUGGAAUAUUGCUGAAAGCGGCGUAAAACCAUACCCACUCACUCACUCAGCAUUCCCGAAACGUUUCCUCGCUGGUUUGAUUCCGAGUUCGCCGCCAUUUUGUUUCAAGGUUUGUCACUCAUGCAUUCAUACCUGAGGGGCAUAUUCUGCUGUAAGUCGUUUGUCAUUUGGCCAACAAAUACAAAGUUAAUCAGUUGUUUGACUACAUUGUUUCAGUGAACAUAUUCUGGACUGAUACAAUUUAUACAUUAUGGUCUUUCCAAGCAUAUGUUGUAAGCAUGUUCUUCUGACACAUUAAACGAUCAUUUCACUCA
This is a long non-coding RNA of Haliotis rubra (blacklip abalone), 1471 nucleotides long. RefSeq lists it as uncharacterized. The transcript has 2 exons. The record is from RefSeq and is a predicted model, not a curated record. Lineage: Eukaryota; Metazoa; Mollusca; Gastropoda; Lepetellida; Haliotidae.